GUUUUCACACUGGAGCUCACUAACCAGCUGACCUCUUAAGAGAGGGCUGGUACAACAGGUGACACAGGAAACUCAGGUGAGGGUGUGGAGAGACAGGAACUCAGGUGAGAGGUGGAGAGACAGGAACUCAGGUGAGAGGUGGAGAGACAGGAACUCAGGUGAGAUGUGGAGAGACAGGAACUCAGGUGAGAGAUGGAAACAGACAGGAACUCAGGUGAGAGGUGGAGAGACAGGAACUCAGGUGAGAGGUGGAGACACAGGAACUCAGGUGAGAGGUGGAGAGACAGGAACUCAGGUGAGAGGUGGAAACAGACAGGAACUCAGGUGAGAGAUGGAAACAGACAGGAACUCAGGUGAGAUGUGGAGAGACAGGAACUCAGGUGAGAGAUGGAAACAGACAGGAACUCAGGUGAGAUGUGGAGAGACAGGAACUCAGGUGAGAGGUGGAAACAGACAGGAACUCAGGUGAGAGGUGGAGAGACAGGAACUCAGGUGAGAUAUGGAAACAG
This 509-nucleotide long non-coding RNA is filed under the name Macaca mulatta (Rhesus monkey). Its description in RNAcentral is "lncRNA (ENSMMUG00000053990.1)". Lineage: Eukaryota; Metazoa; Chordata; Mammalia; Primates; Cercopithecidae. The record is from RNAcentral.